UACGUAGGGCGCAAGCGUUGUCCGGAAUUAUUGGGCGUAAAGAGCUCGUAGGCGGUUUGUCGCGUCUGCUGUGAAAACCUAAGGCUCAACCUUGGGCUUGCAGUGGGUACGGGCAGACUAGAGUGCGGUAGGGGUGACUGGAAUUCCUGGUGUAGCGGUGGAAUGCGCAGAUAUCAGGAGGAACACCGAUGGCGAAGGCAGGUCUCUGGGCCACUACUGACGCUGAGAAGCGAAAGCAUGGGGAGCGAACGGG
Molecule: ribosomal RNA, 253 nt
Filed under: uncultured bacterium
Lineage: Bacteria
Description: partial 16S ribosomal RNA
Rfam family: Bacterial small subunit ribosomal RNA
Source: RNAcentral